Molecule: ribosomal RNA, 910 nt
Filed under: uncultured archaeon
Lineage: Archaea
Description: bacterial SSU rRNA
Rfam family: Archaeal small subunit ribosomal RNA
Source: RNAcentral
UCCGGUUGAUCCUGCCGGCGGCUACCGCUAUUGGAGUUCGAUUAAGCCAUGCGAGUCGCGAGUCUUAGGGACUCGGCGUACCGCUCAGUAACACGUGGGUAACCUGCCCUAUGCUGGGGGAUAACCUCGGGAAACUGAGAAUAAUACCCCAUAGUUCACCAUGCCUGGAACGGUGGGUGGACCAAAGCUCCGGCGGCAUAGGAUGGGCCUGCGGCGUAUCAGGUUGUAGGGGGUGUAAUGUACCCUCUAGCCCUCUACGCGUACGGGUGUUGAGAGACAUCGCCCGGAGAUGGAUUCUGAGACACGAAUCCAGACCCUACGGGGUGCAGCAGGCGCGAAAACUUGGCAAUGCGAGAAAUCGUGACCAGGGAACUCCAAGUGCAUCGGGUAAGACCGAUGCUUUUCUUGACUCUUCAAAGGUCUUGGAAUAAGGGGUGGGUAAGGACGGUGCCAGCCGCCGCGGUAAUACCGGCGCCCCAAGUGGUAGUCGCUUUUAUUGGGCCUAAAACGUCCGUAGCCGGUCUGGUACAUUCGUGGGUAAAUCAACCAGCUCAACUGGUUGAAUUCUGCGAGCACGGCCAGACUUGGGACCGGGAGAGGUGUGGGGUACUCUCAGGGUAGGGGUAAAAUCCUGUCAUCCUGAGAGGACCACCUGUUGCGAAGGCGCCACACUAGAACGGAUCCGACGGUCAGGGACGAAGCCUAGGGGCACGAACCGGAUUAGAUACCCGGGUAAUCCUANGUGUAAACGCUGUGGACUUGAUGUUGGGGGCGCUCCGAGCGCACUCAGUGUCGAAGCGAAAGUGAUAAGUCCACUGCCUGGGGAGUACGGUCGCAAGGCUGAAACUUAAAGGAAUUGGCGGGGGAGCACCGCAACCUGAGGAUUGUGCGGUUUAAUUGGAUUCACGCC